CCAGGAGGAGCCAGGAGUUGCAGCUGCCAGCUCCUCCGCCCGGAUCCUUUCCCAGCGCCAGGUGGAGCCCUGUCCCCGGAUCUCGCCGGGCCCCGCACUCCUGGACCCCGGCGGCUGGGAGGCAGCUGUGCCCGUUCCACUCGGCCCUGGCAGCAGCGGCUCAGGGAAGGCGAAGCCUCCUCACCCCGGACCUAGUGGCCGCAGAGAGCACGGCUUCCCCACUGCGCCCGCCCGCCCGCCGCGUCCCUGGGUCAGGACCUGAGCAGACCUCCCUGGCGCCGCCGUGAAGGCUCCGUCCUUGUCUCUUAGGAAGCCUGGAAAACGCAUCCUUGCCAGGUGGGGCGCUGCAACAGAAAGACUCCUAGCUGAGACAACUGUUUAAAGUAAAUGAGGAAAGCAAGCACACUACUUCGAUCCUGAAAACAGCCAUGGAAAAAGACAAAUGGAAAUCCUAGUCCUGGCAGCCAGCAGUUUCCUGAGCACCCACUGCCUUAAAUUGCAAGGGCUUAAGGGCCUUCGGCUAAGCUGUGUGGACAUUGUGUGUUACAGGUUCUCCUUUUACAGAAUGAAGAUCAAGGUGGAUAAAAGGAAGACAGAAAUAGGUUCACAAAGGUCUAUCUGACCAGAAACUAAUACCCACGGUUUGUAAAGAACUCCUACAGUUCAGGAAAAUGUAAACCACUCAAUACAAAGUGGACCCAGAUGUUGAGCAGACGUUCCCCUAAGAAUGCCUGCUGAUUGCCAAGAAGCAUAUGAAGAGUCCUGACACCAUCAGUCACUGGGAAAUGCCGAUGGACGCCACAAUGGGGUGUCAGAGGCGCCCCCAAAAGGGUGAGGAUCCAAGAGACUGACCGCACCACAUGUUGGCAAGAACAGGGAGGACCUAGAACUUGGCCACCAUGCCGGUGGUGCAGUAGUGUGAAACACCAUUAUCACACUGGGAAGCAGCCCUAGUAGUGUCUCAUGAUACUAAGUACACAGAUUCUGUGACCAAGUGAUCCCACUCUGAAGAUGAUCGAUCCCUCUGUCCACAGAAUACUGUUCUACAAUGCUCCAGCAGCUCUGCUCGUCGUGGCCCAGAGCUGGAAACCGCUCAAUUGUUCAUCAAGAGAUGAAUGGACAGACCGACCGAUUAAAAUAAAUUUAAUCGGGCUGGGGAUUUAGCUCAGUGGUUCCUCCACCUGCCUUGCAAGCACAAGGUCCCAAGUUCGAUCCCUGGUAGCAAAAAAAAAAAAAAAUUAAAAAAAAAUUUUUUAAAUAAAAUAAAUUUAAUCUAGUAAGAAAAAAUUAAGUUUUUAUGAUGAAUAAAGAUGAUGAUAACAAUUGAUAAAUGUUAAGGCAACAGGAAAAGAGGGAUUUGGCCAUAAGAAUGAGGUUAGUAACACUCACUGUGCUCCUGAUUCCCAAAGGUGUGCCUGGAUUUUAUGAAAGAUAUUAAAUUUAAUAAAGGUGUUAAAAAUGUGGACACUGA
Heterocephalus glaber (naked mole-rat) is the source of this 1471-nucleotide long non-coding RNA. RefSeq lists it as uncharacterized. The record is from RefSeq and is a predicted model, not a curated record. NCBI's taxonomy places the organism in Eukaryota, Metazoa, Chordata, Mammalia, Rodentia, Bathyergidae.